This is a long non-coding RNA of Bombyx mori (domestic silkworm), 851 nucleotides long. RefSeq lists it as uncharacterized. The transcript has 4 exons. The record is from RefSeq and is a predicted model, not a curated record. NCBI's taxonomy places the organism in Eukaryota, Metazoa, Arthropoda, Insecta, Lepidoptera, Bombycidae.
UUGAUUAAUGUUUUAAAUUAAUUAUCUUUACUUCAUUUCACUCCACAUCAUCAUUUUCCAUAAAAUUGUUAAUAUAAAUUCAAAUAAGACAUGACUUAAAGGUUUUAGUUACCAGGUCAUAAAAUACUUUUUAAAAAAAUAGCAGUUGGCGGUAAGUCCUUAUUUUUACAAAACUUAAGAAAAUAAUAAACCCAAGUUUUCGUACAUUUAUGAACAUUUGGCCGGAUUUUACCCGUUACGAAAUCAAAUACCAGUAAUUAGUUUAACAGAAACGUAAAUUAUGUGGGGGCAAUGUUCGAUUUGAGGGUUUAAAUUUUGAAAUCUCCCGCCACCUUGCCGGUACCCGCGCUGCCGCGUAAUCAACUGAGCGCGACACUAGCGCCACGCGUCGUCGUAGUUUGUGAAACAUUUGAAAAAGUCGGUCGUGAAAAGUGUAUUGUCUAUGGUCGUGAAAUCUUUAGCAGUUGGUGAUGGAAGACUCGUUUCAAGACACGGAGAAGGUCAUGCUGCUGGGAGAGCUUAGCCAUUAUGAGGAAGUCCCUGAAAUUCAAAUGGCAGAUGCACAGUGCUCACCACACCUGAAGGUCAAGGUCUGAAGCAGUCACAGGAAAAACUUACAGGUAUCUCUCGCAGAGAGUCCACGUAGUAUUUCAGGAUCUUGUCUUCUGGGACAACAUUGAGAGACCGCCCCACACAGAGACACAGCACGCAAAGUUUAUUCGAAGAAUUAGAAGGUUUUUUUACAUUCAUUUUUGUUAUUUUAUUAACAGUAUAAUAUAGUGAAUUGUUAUUUUUAUAUGGUUCUCUUAGACUUGAUGAACGUGAUUCCAAUUAAAAUUAUCAUUUCCUAA